This 27-nucleotide non-coding RNA is filed under the name Rattus norvegicus (Norway rat). Lineage: Eukaryota; Metazoa; Chordata; Mammalia; Rodentia; Muridae. The record is from RNAcentral.
UAUCCAAAGAUGAAUUACAUGUGUUUA